UGAGGAAUAUUUCUCAAUGGGCGAAAGCCUGAAGCAGCAACGCCGCGUGCGCGAUGAAGGUCUUCGGAUCGUAAAGCGCUUUUGAGAGGGACGAGAUAGGACGGUACCUCUUGAAUAAGUCACGGCUAACUACGUGCCAGCAGCCGCGGUAAAACGUAGGUGGCAAGCGUUAUCCGGAUUCACUGGGCGUAAAGCGCGUGCAGGUGGCUUCGUAAGUUGGACGUUAAAUCUUUCGGCCUAACCGGGAGGUGUCGUUCAAUACUGCGGGGCUUGAGGGUAGAAGAGGGGGGUGGAAUUGCCGGUGUAGUGGUGAAAUGCGUAGAUAUCGGCAGGAACACCUGUGGCGAAAGCGGCCCCCUGGUCUGCUCCUGACACUCAGACGCGAAAGCUAGGGGAGUGAACG
RNAcentral lists this ribosomal RNA (403 nucleotides) under uncultured bacterium. RNAcentral's name for it is "bacterial SSU rRNA". It matches the Rfam family "Bacterial small subunit ribosomal RNA", at positions 355 to 774 of the family's 1533-position model. The record is from RNAcentral.